CUCCAAUUUUCGAUAAUUCUUCAUCCCCAAUUCAAUUUUCCACAGACUCCACAUACUCAACCAAUUGAAUUUCAAUCCAACAAGGAGAUUAGCUCCAUUUUCAAUUUCACCUAUUUCAUACGAGGAUUUGGCUUGAGGUUCAAUUUCAUUUGAGCAUAUGUGGGUGAUAUACAUCUUAGAUUCUUAAUUGAAGAGCUUAUAUGUUGUUUUGCGCCAGAUCUGAACUCUUAUGCAGGCGAACUUUUUGUUUUUUCACUAGUUUUCGAUAAGCUGAUAUUUGCAUUGCUGCUGCUUUUAAUUGAUGACCUGCUUUGUUUACUUCCGGUUUAUUGCUUUGUUUACUUCUGGUUUAUUGAUUUAGAUUUAAUUAAUUACGUUUUAAAGAUCUUCUGUGCUAGCUAUUUUGAUUUUGCAAUUUUUUCUUCCAAAUUGGGUCUAGUGCGUAUUAGGAUAUGUCAAUUAGGUAUAUGGCUCCCCCAAUUUGAUUGCCUAGAUCAGGUUUAACAGCAUUUGUUUUUUCGGUGGUAACCGCCUCGCCGCCUUCCCCACCACCUGCGCUCUUGAAAUGACAACAGUAUCAUGUGAAAUCAUCGUAAACAUACGCAAUCAGACAGUUACUCACCAAAAUUGCUACCCGGAGUGAUGAAGAGAUUGGCUCUGCACAGGUGUGAGGACUUAGAGAGCAAGGCAAUUUCUCCAGCAUCUAAGAUCACCAAAUAGAAGCGAACCAUCUUAAGGAUUCAAAGAUACCAAAGGUAGAAGCAUUUAAAGUUUCGGGAAAAAGCUGUAAUAAUUUCCUCUCGAGACAGAAUAAAUUUCUUCAUUUGCCAUCCAAGUGUAACAGAGUAACUCUUAGACAGGUUUUACUUUUCUACUAUCCAUUUAUGUCGUUGAAACAAGCUUGGGAAACAGGAAAAGAAAAAACGAAGUGAUAUCUUAGCUUGAGAUAGAGAUCUUCAUUCUGCUGGCUAAUAUGUAGGGUUAAUAAAUGUUUUAUUUUCCUGAAGUAGACCCUGUGUAGUUGGAAUCUGUUUAUAUUCUUAACAAGUGAUAUCUUUCACGUUCACUUUUGUAUAUCCAACAUCUAGUUUUGUAUAUUUCAACUGAUUGAAAGCUGCAAAAUCAAAGUGAAUAAUAAAAUUUAUGUUUUGUAUAUCCAA
This is a long non-coding RNA of Salvia miltiorrhiza (redroot sage), 1160 nucleotides long. RefSeq lists it as uncharacterized. NCBI's taxonomy places the organism in Eukaryota, Viridiplantae, Streptophyta, Magnoliopsida, Lamiales, Lamiaceae. The transcript has 6 exons. The record is from RefSeq and is a predicted model, not a curated record.